CACGUAGGGCGCAAGCGUUGUCCGGAAUUAUUGGGCGUAAAGAGCUCGUAGGUGGUUUGUUACGUCUGCUGUGAAAACCUAGGGCUUAACCCUGGGCUUGCAGUGGAUACGGGCAGACUAGAGGUAGGUAGGGGAGAAUGGAAUUCCUGGUGUAGCGGUGAAAUGCGCAGAUAUCAGGAGGAACACCAAUGGCGAAGGCAGAUCUCUGGGCCGUAACUGACGCUGAGGAGCGAAAGCGUGGGGAGCGAACAGG
This 253-nucleotide ribosomal RNA is filed under the name uncultured bacterium. Its description in RNAcentral is "partial 16S ribosomal RNA". It matches the Rfam family "Bacterial small subunit ribosomal RNA", at positions 524 to 776 of the family's 1533-position model. The record is from RNAcentral.